UUUUGUGUUUGAUCGUUGCUCAGAUUGAACGCUGGCGGCAUGCUUUACACAUGCAAGUCGAACGGCAGCGCGGGGCAACCUGGCGGCGAGUGGCGAACGGGUGAGUAAUACAUCGGAACGUACCCAGAAGUGGGGGAUAACGUAUCGAAAGUUACGCUAAUACCGCAUACGUUCUACGGAUGAAAGUGGGGGACCUUAGGGCCUCAUGCUUUUGGAGCGGCCGAUGUCUGAUUAGCUAGUUGGUGAGGUAAAGGCUCACCAAGGCGACGAUCAGUAGCUGGUCUGAGAGGACGACCAGCCACACUGGGACUGAGACACGGCCCAGACUCCUACGGGAGGCAGCAGUGGGGAAUUUUGGACAAUGGGCGCAAGCCUGAUCCAGCAAUGCCGCGUGAGUGAAGAAGGCCUUCGGGUUGUAAAGCUCUUUUGUCCGGGAAGAAACUGGCAUGCUAGCUUAAUAUGCUGCG
This 467-nucleotide ribosomal RNA is filed under the name Massilia sp. RNAcentral describes it as "bacterial SSU rRNA". It matches the Rfam family "Bacterial small subunit ribosomal RNA", at positions 1 to 470 of the family's 1533-position model. The record is from RNAcentral. Lineage: Bacteria; Pseudomonadati; Pseudomonadota; Betaproteobacteria; Burkholderiales; Oxalobacteraceae.